UUCAAACUAAUGGAAUGGAGUUACGAACAAAUUUUUAAAAUAACCCCUUCUCUUUGAUUUUCCACUUGAAUAUGAAUAUCUAGAGUCACUAAGGCACUCUUCACCUCCAAGUGAUCCAUAGAAGGACUUCUAAAUGGAAAUCUUAAAGACCACUCAAAAUCUGUGCAAUAAAACUCAUGGAAAGUAGAAAACAAUACAAC
RNAcentral lists this long non-coding RNA (200 nucleotides) under Panax ginseng (ginseng). RNAcentral's name for it is "long non-coding RNA (PGIN_LNC004553)". Lineage: Eukaryota; Viridiplantae; Streptophyta; Magnoliopsida; Apiales; Araliaceae. The record is from RNAcentral.